CAGUCAUCAGCACUCAAAACAGACCACUGACCAUGGACUUUGGUCUCAGCUUGGUUUUCCUUGUCCUUAUUUUGAAAGGUGUCCAGUGUGAGGUGCAGCUGGUGGAGACUGGGGGAGGCUUAGUGCAGCCUGGAAGGUCCCUGAAACUCUCCUGUGUAGCCUCUGGAUUCACAUUCAAAAGCUACUGGAUGUACUGGAUCCGCCAGGCUCCAGGGAAGGGGCUGGAGUGGGUUGCAUCCAUUAGUAAUGGUGGUGGUAGCACUUACUAUCCAGACUCCGUGAAGGGCCGAUUCACUAUCUCCAGAGAUAAUGCAAAAAACACCCUAUACCUGCAAAUGAACAGUCUGAGGUCUGAGGACACAGCCACUUAUUACUGUGCAAAAGACACAGUGACUAGAAGAUUCUUUUCCAAUAAGGGUAAAGGACCUGUUGUCACUAUCAAAAAGAAGUGGGUGAGAGGUACACACCCUAAAAAUGCAACUAAGUGGUGGGGUCUGGUGAGGAAGGAACCUCCCUCAAUGAAAGCAGGAAGAAACACAGUGAGGGAGGUCCAUUUUGAGCCUGAACAAAAAUUUCGCUACAGAGAUACUCAGGAUACUCAGGAUGGCAGUGAAGAUCAACAAGAAAAUCCCAGGAUCACUUCAGACUCUAAGAAGUGUUAG
This is a non-coding RNA of Rattus rattus (black rat), 662 nucleotides long. The record is from the annotation of a RefSeq genome assembly. Lineage: Eukaryota; Metazoa; Chordata; Mammalia; Rodentia; Muridae.